RNAcentral lists this ribosomal RNA (253 nucleotides) under uncultured bacterium. RNAcentral's name for it is "partial 16S ribosomal RNA". It matches the Rfam family "Bacterial small subunit ribosomal RNA", at positions 524 to 776 of the family's 1533-position model. The record is from RNAcentral.
UACGGGGGGGGCAAGCGUUGUUCGGAAUUACUGGGCGUAAAGGGUGCGUAGGCGGCUCGCUAAGUUGGAUGUGAAAACUCUGGGCUUAACCCAGAGCCUGCAUUCAAUACUGACGAGCUAGAGUUCUGGAGGGGGUAGCGGAAUUCCUGGUGUAGCGGUGAAAUUCGUAGAUAUUGGGAAGAACACCGGUGGCGAAGGCGGCCAUCUGGCCCGUAUUUGACGCUGAGGCGCGAAAGCGUGGGGAGCAAACAGG